AAUAAAUAAGCUUGAGAAAUAUUAAGGAUGGGGCCACAGUUUGGGUUUUAGCAACUGAUUGGAAAGUGAUGCCAUUCACAUUGGACACGUUUAAAUUUGAGAUGCUAGUGGAACAACCAUGUAUAGACACCUACUCGGCAAUCCUGCAUAUGAUCUCAACAUCAGAAGAAAGAUGUGGGCUGAUGACACAGAACUGAGAAUAGCCAGCGUUGCCACUGGGAGUAACCAUCACAUAUGUGGCAAAAAAGGCCAUUGGCGCAGAUACAAUCACCCAGGCGGGAUGUGUAAAAUGGAAAAAGAAGGCAACCUAGAAGCAGAAUUCAACGUAUCAGAUACAGUAAUGAAGACAAUAAGAAAUUGGAUUGAUCCAGGUCUGGAGUUUUGCCACAGAGUGAAAUGGAACAACAAUAUGCAGGAGAAGUGAGGACACUGAAUUCUACUUGAAAAUUAUACAGAAACAAUUUCUUAGAAUGCUCACAAAAGACCUGAAAACAUGGGGAGGAAGCAGGGCAUUUACAGGAAGAACACCCUGGUGAUCAUCUAAUAUGAGCAGAGCCUAGUGACAGGGAAGGCAGUUAGAAGACUGUUUCAAUAGUACAAGAUCUGGGGAGCAGCCAAAGGUGAUGGUAAUGUGGAUGAAGAGUAAAGACCAGAGGAAGACUGACACAUAUUCUCAGGAUUUGCCAUCCUCUCCCUGUAAAAUGAGCAUCAUUUAGCACUGUGAAACAUAAAUUGAAGGCUAUAAAAACUGUCUACAUGAGUUAACACACCUGUAUUCAUUUCCAAUGUGUAUCAAAAGAA
This 801-nucleotide long non-coding RNA is filed under the name Pan troglodytes (chimpanzee). RNAcentral's name for it is "long non-coding RNA NONPTRT004000". Lineage: Eukaryota; Metazoa; Chordata; Mammalia; Primates; Hominidae. The record is from RNAcentral.